This 73-nucleotide transfer RNA is filed under the name Calditrichota bacterium. Its description in RNAcentral is "Calditrichaeota bacterium tRNA-Trp". It matches the Rfam family "tRNA". Rfam says of the family: Transfer RNA (tRNA) molecules are approximately 80 nucleotides in length. RNAcentral also lists the same sequence under 1 other name. The record is from RNAcentral. Lineage: Bacteria; Pseudomonadati; Calditrichota.
AGGUGAGUAGCUCAACUGGCAGAGCACUGGUCUCCAAAACCAGGGGUUGCGGGUUCGAUUCCUGCCUCACCUG